UGAGUACGAGAUGCUACGGCAUCGAAGCAGUCUAUGUCAUACUUCCAAGAAAAGCUCGCACUGUCAUAAACAAAUAAUGCCUGUACCAUAACCGACACAGGUGGGUAGGUAGAGUAUACUAAGGGGCGCGAGAUAACUCUCUCUAAGGAACUCGGCAAAAUGACUCCGUAACUUCGGGAGAAGGAGUGCCUUAUUUAUAAGGUUGCAAUAACAAGAUCCAAGCAACUGUUUAUCAAAAACACAGGUCUCCGCUAAGUCGUAAGACGAUGUAUGGGGGCUGACGCCUGCCCAGUGCCAGAAGGUUAAAGAAGUUGGUUAGCAUUAGCGAAGCUGAUAACUGAAGCCCUGGUGAACGGCGGCCGUAACGAUAACGGUCCUAAGGUAGCGAAAUUCCUUGUCGGGUAAGUUCCGACCCGCACGAAAGGCGUAAUGAUUUGGAUACUGUCUCGGAGAGGGGCUCGGUGAAAUAGACUUGUCUGUGAAGAUGCGGACUACCUGCACCAGGACAGAAAGACCCUAUGAAGCUUUACUGUAACUUGAAAUUGAAAUUGGACUUUAUUUGCGCAGCAUAGGUGGGAGGCGUUGAAAAUAUUCUCGCGGGAAUAUUAGAGCCAUCAGUGAGAUACCACUCUUGUAAUGUUAGAUUUCUAACUUUGUAUCAUUAUCUGGUCAAAGAACAGUUUCAGGCGGGCAGUUUGACUGGGGCGGUCGCCUCCUAAACGGUAACGGAGGCGCACAAAGGUUUCCUCUGAACGGGUAGAAAUCGUAUCUAGAGUGUAAAGGCAUAAGGAAGCUUGACUGUGAGACCUACAAGUCGAGCAGGGACGAAAGUCGGUCUUAGUGAUCUGACGGUGCUGAGUGGAAAGGCCGUCACUCAACGGAUAAAAGUUACUCUAGGAUAACAGGCUGAUCUCCCCCAAGAGUUCACAUCGACGGGGAGGUUUGGCACCUCGAUGUCGGCUCAUCGCAUCCUGGGGCGGUAGUACGUCCCAAGGGUUGGGCUGUUCGCCCAUGAAAGCGGUACGCGAGCUGGGUUCAGAACGUCGUGAGACAGUUCGGUCCAUAUCCGGUGUAGGCGUUAGAAUAUUGAGAGGAGCCUUCAUUAGUACGAGAGGACCGAGAAGGACAUACCUCUGGUGUACCAGUUAUCGUGCCAACGGUAAACGCUGGGUAGCUAUGUAUGGAGAGGAUAACCGCUGAAAGCAUCUAAGUGGGAAGCCCACCUCAAGAUAAGUAUUCUCGU
Molecule: ribosomal RNA, 1243 nt
Filed under: metagenome
Description: bacterial LSU rRNA
Rfam family: Bacterial large subunit ribosomal RNA
Source: RNAcentral